Molecule: long non-coding RNA, 747 nt
Filed under: Malus domestica (apple)
Lineage: Eukaryota; Viridiplantae; Streptophyta; Magnoliopsida; Rosales; Rosaceae
Description: long non-coding RNA (MDOM_LNC016396)
Source: RNAcentral
CCCCUUAGUGUAAUAUUGUUUCUUUAAAAAAAAUGGCAAGCCCUUAGGGCAACCCGUACAAGAAGAGCCAAGCAGAGAGUAUGCCUAGCACGAGAACGAACUGGUCUAGCAAUAGCAUAAGGGGAAAAGCUAGAAAUGAGUUAACACUCUCAUUCUUGUCAAUGUUUGGAAGUGAAAUGCAUCCUAAAAUUUUGAAAAUUCGGAAUUAUAUUGAGGAUGUAAGCUUUAACUAUUCAUAAGUACUGAAAUAUAUGUGACCCAAUCACCAAAGAAACAUAUGAGUUGUUCCAUGAAAAUUGACAGCAAGUGAGCACUAGUAAUAUAAUGAGUAGGUUCUUUGGGCUUUUGGUUCGAGUUUUCCUAUAUCUUGGCUAAUUUUAAUCUUUCAGAUUUUUUUAUCAUAUCCCAAACUGAAUAUUUGAAAUCUGAUAAUUCUAAAAAAUUUAGAGAAAAAAAAUACAUACAUACUCCAAAAAAAUUGAGAUUAGCUCUCAAAUAAUCCUAAAUAUAACUUGAAACCCAAAUGCCUUGAACCAAGAACAAUAUUGCUUUUUCAAGUGGUGAAUUACAUUGAUGGUUAGUGUGAAGACAAAAAUCAAUCACAUUAAAUAGGAGAAUGACACAUGGACUAUUAGUUGCAUAUGGCGCAUUUACCCUUGAUGUUGUGAGUUGGGCUAGGCACGGGCCGGGCAGGGCCCAAUUUUGAAGGGACCAGAUCGGACCCGGGUUUAAAAGAAUCAGGCUAGG